Hyla sarda is the source of this 369-nucleotide long non-coding RNA. RefSeq lists it as uncharacterized. NCBI's taxonomy places the organism in Eukaryota, Metazoa, Chordata, Amphibia, Anura, Hylidae. The record is from RefSeq and is a predicted model, not a curated record. The transcript is spliced from 4 exons.
CCCCACAGAAUUUAUAUUGGAUUAUGCAGACAGAGAUUAAUCUACCGCCACACAACAACCUAUAUACUCACAAUAGCAGCUGGAAGACAAGGAAUGCUGGAAGAUGGCGACACAUGUUACUUUACUAAUAAACCCACAGCUGUUUAUUACCUUAUUCAGCCCAAUGAAGGAUGGCACAAAUCUCAGCAACAAAUGAAAAGUCGUCCUUUAGAUCCAAGAUCUAGCAGUAAUGAGUGACAAGAACCUACAAUUAUUGGAGACUACACAAGUGACCAAUUUUAGGUGAUUCCAAUCAAGGUGGAGAAACAUCUCAAAGAUGAUCUUGAGAAAUGGUAGGACCCAGACCUAAUUUUCAAGUGUCAUAGGAAG